AGAGUUUGAUCCUGGCUCAGGAUGAACGCUGGCGGCGUGCCUAAUACAUGCAAGUCGAACGGAGAUUGUAGCAAUACGGUCUUAGUGGCGAACGGGUGAGUAACGCGUUGGCAACCUGCCCCGAAGAGUGGGAUAAUGGUCCGAAAGGACCACUAAUACCGCAUGUGAUCCUAAGGAAUAGCAGCUUAGGAUGAAAGGAGCAAUUCGCUUCGGGAGGGACCUGCGUCCCAUCAGCUAGUUGGUAGGGUAACGGCCUACCAAGGCGAUGACGGGUAGGGGACCUGAGAGGGUGGCCCCCCACAAUGGAACUGAAACACGGUCCAUACACCUACGGGUGGCAGCAGUGAGGAAUAUUGCACAAUGGGCGCAAGCCUGAUGCAGCAACGCCGCGUGCGCGAUGAAGGCCUUCGGGUUGUAAAGCGCUUUUCGGGGAGAUGAGGAAGGACAGUAUCCCCGGAAUAAGGCUCGGCUAACUACGUGCCAGCAGCCGCGGUAACACGUAGGAGCCAAGCGUUAUCCGAAUUCACUGGGCGUAAAGCGCGUGCAGGCGGCUCGGUAAGUUGGAUGUGAAAGCUCCUGGCUCAACUGGGAGAGGACGUUCAAUACUGUCGGGCUAGAGGACGGUAGAGGGAGGUGGAAUUCCCGGUGUAGUGGUGAAAUGCGUAGAUAUCGGGAGGAACACCAGUGGCGAAAGCGGCCUCCUGGGCCGUACCUGACGCUCAGACGCGAAAGCUAGGGGAGCGAACGGGAUUAGAAACCCCGGUAGUCCUAGCUGUAAACGAUGUAGACUUGGUGUCGGUGGGUUAAAAGCCAACGGUGCCGAAGCCAACGCGAUAAGUCUACCGCCUGGGGACUACGGCCGCAAGGUUAAAACUCAAAGGAAUUGACGG
This 890-nucleotide ribosomal RNA is filed under the name uncultured bacterium. RNAcentral's name for it is "bacterial SSU rRNA". It matches the Rfam family "Bacterial small subunit ribosomal RNA", at positions 8 to 916 of the family's 1533-position model. The record is from RNAcentral.